GAUGAACGCUGGCGGCGUGCCUAAUACAUGCAAGUCGAGCGAACAGACGAGGAGCUUGCUCCUCUGACGUUAGCGGCGGACGGGUGAGUAACACGUGGAUAACCUACCUAUAAGACUGGGAUAACUUCGGGAAACCGGAGCUAAUACCGGAUAAUAUAUUGAACCGCAUGGUUCAAUAGUGAAAGACGGUUUUGCUGUUACUUAUAGAUGGAUCCGCGCCGCAUUAGCUAGUUGGUAAGGUAACGGCUUACCAAGGCAACGAUGCGUAGCCGACCUGAGAGGGUGAUCGGCCACACUGGAACUGAGACACGGUCCAGACUCCUACGGGAGGCAGCAGUAGGGAAUCUUCCGCAAUGGGCGAAAGCUUGACGGAGCAACGCCGCGUGAGUGAUGAAGGUCUUCGGAUCGUAAAACUCUGUUAUUAGGGAAGAACAAAUGUGUAAGUAACUAUGCACGUCUUGACGGUACCUAAUCAGAAAGCCACGGCUAACUACGUG
Molecule: ribosomal RNA, 497 nt
Filed under: uncultured bacterium
Lineage: Bacteria
Description: partial 16S ribosomal RNA
Rfam family: Bacterial small subunit ribosomal RNA
Source: RNAcentral